This 663-nucleotide ribosomal RNA is filed under the name uncultured fungus. Its description in RNAcentral is "eukaryotic LSU rRNA". The stretch from base 237 to 390 matches the Rfam family "5.8S ribosomal RNA". The record is from RNAcentral. Lineage: Eukaryota; Fungi.
AAGUCGUAACAAGGUUUCCGUAGGUGAACCUGCGGAAGGAUCAUUUACGAGGUUACUGGAGGAGGACUCUGAUGCUGGCUCUUUGGCACUCGUGCUCGAGUCCCCUUCGCUCAUCAUCCCACACACCACUGUGCACUACUUCGAGUUAUGCGGUCUCGCUCGCCGGGAUUGCCUAAUUUGGAAACACUACAAACUUUUUACCAAGUCAGAAUGUAAUGAAGUUAAUAAUACAAUACAACUUUCAACAACGGAUCUCUUGGCUCUCGCAUCGAUGAAGAACGCAGCGAAAUGCGAUAAGUAAUGUGAAUUGCAGAAUUCAGUGAAUCAUCGAAUCUUUGAACGCACCUUGCGCUCCUUGGUAUUCCGAGGAGCAUGCCUGUUUGAGUGUCAUGGAAUUCUCAAUCUUUAAUGCUUCAAAAGAGUAUUUAAAGACUUGGACUUGGAGGUCUGUGCUGGCUCUUGUUAGUCGGCUCCUCUGAAAUACAUUAGCGUGAAUAUUAUGGAUCGCUUCGGUGUGAUAAUUAUCUGCGCCGUUGUUGUGAAGUAUAUGAAUAUGUUUGCGCUUCUAAUCGUCGCUGUCAAAGUGACAAUAAAAACAAUGACUCUUGACCUCAAAUCAGGUAGGACUACCCGCUGAACUUAAGCAUAUCAAUAAGCGGAGGA